AAGGCAUUAACUCCGGUCUUCCACUCAAACCUGUUGAGUGAGCUGAGCAAGCUCUGCCCAGCAGACUGACCAAGAUGAGCCGAAAGGAUGGGACUCGCAUAUCUCCGUUGGUCUCCAAGAUACACUGUGACCAGCUUCCUCAAACUCCCGCUGUGACUUCCCUGCCAUAAUGGACUGUGCACCCUCAACUGUGAGCCAGAGUAGUCAGAUCCACAAGCCACUCCCACCUGGGACUUGACGCCCGAACAAAUAAAUUAGACUCAUUAUUCACAUCGGCAGC
Long non-coding RNA from Meriones unguiculatus (Mongolian gerbil), 280 nucleotides. RefSeq lists it as uncharacterized. The transcript is spliced from 4 exons. The record is from RefSeq and is a predicted model, not a curated record. Lineage: Eukaryota; Metazoa; Chordata; Mammalia; Rodentia; Muridae.